RNAcentral lists this unclassified non-coding RNA (157 nucleotides) under uncultured fungus. RNAcentral's name for it is "sequence contains ITS2". Lineage: Eukaryota; Fungi. The record is from RNAcentral.
CUACCCUCGAGCACUGCUCGGUGUUGGCGGAUUGCCUAGCAACCGCUGAAAAUCAACGGCGGUGGCCCCUAUGUCCCUGUAUAGUACUAUUCUUGCAGCGGUUAUAGCGGUCUACCAGUCUUUUGUCGUGGUCUCUCGGGACCCUCGACACUUUGAA